GGGCGCGUAGCUCAGACGGUAGAGCAUCUGCCUUUUAAGCAGAGGGUCCCGGGUUCGAGUCCCGGCGCGCUCACCA
RNAcentral lists this transfer RNA (76 nucleotides) under Acidobacteriota bacterium. RNAcentral describes it as "Acidobacteria bacterium (rhizosphere metagenome) tRNA-Lys". It matches the Rfam family "tRNA". Rfam says of the family: Transfer RNA (tRNA) molecules are approximately 80 nucleotides in length. Their secondary structure includes four short double-helical elements and three loops (D, anti-codon, and T loops). Further hydrogen bonds mediate the characteristic L-shaped molecular structure. tRNAs have two regions of fundamental functional importance: the anti-codon, which is responsible for specific mRNA codon recognition, and the 3' end, to which the tRNAs corresponding amino acid is attached (by aminoacyl-tRNA synthetases). tRNAs cope with the degeneracy of the genetic code in two manners: having more than one tRNA (with a specific anti-codon) for a particular amino acid; and 'wobble' base-pairing, i.e. permitting non-standard base-pairing at the 3rd anti-codon position. The record is from RNAcentral. RNAcentral also lists the same sequence under 1 other name. Lineage: Bacteria; Pseudomonadati; Acidobacteriota.